CCGAUAGUACCACUGGGGAUACGCCGCAGGUUGAAACUCAAAGGAAUGACGGGGUCGCACAGCGGUGGAGCAUGUGUUUAAUUCGAUGAUACGCGAGGAACCUUACCUAGGCUAGAAUGUGAGUGACCGAUCCUGAAAGGGGUCUUUCCUUCGGGACACGAAACAAGGUGCUGCAUGGUUGUCGUCAGCUCGUGCCGUGAGGUGUUGGGUUAAGUCCCGCAACGAGCGCAACCCUUAUCGUUAGUUACCAGCACGUUAUGGUGGGGACUCUAGCGAGACUGCCGGCGUAAGCCGCGAGGAAGGUGGGGAUGACGUCAAAUCAUCAUGGCCUUUAUGCCCAGGGCUACACACGUGCUACAAUGGGCUGUACAAAGGGUUGCAAGCCCGCGAGGGUGAGCCAAUCCCAGAAAGCAGCUCGUAGUUCGGAUUGGAGUCUGCAACUCGACUCCAUGAAGCUGGAAUCGCUAGUAAUCGUGGAUCAGCAUGCCACGGUGAAUACGUUCCCGGGCCUUGUACACACCGCCCGUCACACCAUGAGAGUUGGUUGUACCAGAAGUUGUCGGACUAACCCGCAAGGGGGGUAGGCACCUAAGGUAUGGCCGAUGAUUGGGGUGAAGUCGUAACAAGGUAACCGUAAGACUGGAGAUCUG
Molecule: ribosomal RNA, 650 nt
Filed under: uncultured bacterium
Lineage: Bacteria
Description: bacterial SSU rRNA
Rfam family: Bacterial small subunit ribosomal RNA
Source: RNAcentral